AGCGAACGCUGGCGGCAGGCCUAACACAUGCAAGUCGAACGCACCUUCGGGUGAGUGGCGGACGGGUGAGUAACACGUGGGAACGUACCUUUAGGUUCGGAAUAACGCAGGGGAACUUGCGCUAAUACCGAAUGUGCCCCCUCCUUUGACUAGGGGGGCGGGAAAGAUUUAUCGCCUUUAGAGCGGCCCGCGUUAGAUUAGCUAGUUGGUGGGGUAAUGGCCCACCAAGGCUACGAUCUAUAGCUGGUCUGAGAGGAUGAUCAGCCACACUGGGACUGAGACACGGGCCCAGACUCCUACGGGAGGCAGCAGUGAGGAAUUUUCCG
RNAcentral lists this ribosomal RNA (326 nucleotides) under uncultured bacterium. RNAcentral's name for it is "bacterial SSU rRNA". It matches the Rfam family "Bacterial small subunit ribosomal RNA", at positions 29 to 368 of the family's 1533-position model. The record is from RNAcentral.